AACUUUCGGCAAUGGAUCACUUGGCUCUCGCAUCGAUGAGGAACGCAGCGAAAUGCGAUAAGUAAUGUGAAUCGCAGAAUUCAGUGAAUCAUCGAAUCUUUGAACGCACCUUGCGCUCCUUGGUAUUCCGAGGAGCAUGCCUGUUUGAGUGUCAUUAAAUUCUCAACCUUGUCAGAAUCUGUCUGAUAAUGGCUUGGAUGUGGGGGUUUUGCUGGCUCUGUCAGCUCCCCUUAAAUGCAUUAGCUGGUGCCCUGUAUUGGUGUGAUAAUUAUCUACGCCAUGGAUUAGCGCCGCUUCUAACCGUCCGUUCAUUCGGACAAUACAAAUGACAAUUUGACCUCAAAUCAGGUAGGACUACCCGCUGAACUUAAGCAUAUCAAUAAGCGGAGGAC
Molecule: unclassified non-coding RNA, 392 nt
Filed under: uncultured Agaricales
Lineage: Eukaryota; Fungi; Basidiomycota; Agaricomycetes; Agaricales
Description: sequence contains ITS2
Rfam family: 5.8S ribosomal RNA (bases 1-154)
Source: RNAcentral